This is a small RNA of Polaribacter sp. Hel1_33_78, 85 nucleotides long. It matches the Rfam family "Flavo-1 RNA". The record is from Rfam. NCBI's taxonomy places the organism in Bacteria, Pseudomonadati, Bacteroidota, Flavobacteriia, Flavobacteriales, Flavobacteriaceae.
UUAUCGCGUUAAGGAUAGCAGUGAAAAUACUUUUUUUGCUUUUAUAAAUGGUAAAAAAAGAUUGAAACGAAUAGCCUAUUAAAAC